RNAcentral lists this transfer RNA (77 nucleotides) under Escherichia coli. RNAcentral's name for it is "tRNA-Ile". It matches the Rfam family "tRNA". From Rfam's summary of the family: Transfer RNA (tRNA) molecules are approximately 80 nucleotides in length. Lineage: Bacteria; Pseudomonadati; Pseudomonadota; Gammaproteobacteria; Enterobacterales; Enterobacteriaceae. The record is from RNAcentral.
AGGCUUGUAGCUCAGGUGGUUAGAGCGCACCCCUGAUAAGGGUGAGGUCGGUGGGUCAAGUCCACUCAGGCCUACCA